This 239-nucleotide small RNA is filed under the name Arabidopsis thaliana (thale cress). RNAcentral's name for it is "ATSL091170". Lineage: Eukaryota; Viridiplantae; Streptophyta; Magnoliopsida; Brassicales; Brassicaceae. The record is from RNAcentral.
UCCGCCAUCGAACUCGACUACUCGAUCGAGUAUACCCUCCUCACUUGAUUGGCUGGAACUCAAUAGGAAGGCUGAUCUACAGAACAGAACCAUUCAGAAGCUGAGCUACACUGUUGAAAAGCUUAGAGACAAACUAAGUCAAAUGCAAAAGGAGGUUCAGCCCCAGGUCAACCGUGACACGAUUUCAAGAAAGUAGAUCACCUGGGAUUGGUCAGAAGAGAAAGACUAUCCUCCAGAGG